Molecule: ribosomal RNA, 250 nt
Filed under: uncultured bacterium
Lineage: Bacteria
Description: partial 16S ribosomal RNA
Rfam family: Bacterial small subunit ribosomal RNA
Source: RNAcentral
GACGAGGGGUCCUAGCGUUGUUCGGAAUCAUUGGGCGUAAAGGGUAUGUAGGCGGCUAAGAUAGUCAGGUGUGAAAGCCCUGGGCUUAACCUAGGAAGUGCACUUGAUACUACUUGGCUAGAAUAUCAGAGAGGGUAGUGGAAUUCCUGGUGUAGUGGUGAAAUACGUAGAUAUCAGGAGGAACACCGGCGGCGAAGGCGGCUGCCUGGCUGAAUAUUGACGCUGAAAUACGAAAGCGUGGGGAGCAAAC